RNAcentral lists this ribosomal RNA (253 nucleotides) under uncultured bacterium. RNAcentral's name for it is "partial 16S ribosomal RNA". It matches the Rfam family "Bacterial small subunit ribosomal RNA", at positions 524 to 776 of the family's 1533-position model. The record is from RNAcentral.
UACGUAGGGUGCGAGCGUUAAUCGGAAUUACUGGGCGUAAAGCGUGCGCAGGCGGUUUUGUAAGACAGGUGUGAAAUCCCCGGGCUUAACCUGGGAACUGCGCUUGUGACUGCAAGACUCGAGUACGGCAGAGGGGGGUAGAAUUCCACGUGUAGCAGUGAAAUGCGUAGAUAUCGUCUGGAACGCCAAAGGUGAAAACAGACUGCUGGGAGUGUGCUGACGCUGAGACACGAAAGCCAGGGGAGCAAACGGG